AGCCCCAUAGUGUAGCGGUCAAUCAUGCGGGCCUUUGGAGCCCGCGACCGGGGUUCGAAUCCCCGCGGGGCUA
Molecule: transfer RNA, 73 nt
Filed under: Geoglobus ahangari
Lineage: Archaea; Methanobacteriati; Methanobacteriota; Archaeoglobi; Archaeoglobales; Archaeoglobaceae
Description: tRNA-Gln
Rfam family: tRNA
About the family: Transfer RNA (tRNA) molecules are approximately 80 nucleotides in length.
Source: RNAcentral